This 265-nucleotide ribosomal RNA is filed under the name uncultured archaeon. Its description in RNAcentral is "partial 16S ribosomal RNA". It matches the Rfam family "Archaeal small subunit ribosomal RNA", at positions 719 to 982 of the family's 1478-position model. The record is from RNAcentral.
ACACGACUACAUUAGAUACCCGUGUAGUCCUAGCCGUAAACGAUACUCGCUAGGUGUCGGCCACGGUGCGACCGUUGUCGGUGCCGUAGGGAAGCCGUGAAGCGAGCCACCUGGGAAGUACGGCCGCAAGGCUGAAACUUAAAGGAAUUGGCGGGGGAGCACCACAACAGGUGGAGCUUGCGGUUUAAUUGGAUUCAACGCCGGAAAUCUUACCGGGACCGACAGCAACAUGAAGGCCAGGCUGAAGACUUUGCCGGAUUAGCUG